ACGAAGGGGGCUAGCGUUGCUCGGAAUCACUGGGCGUAAAGGGCGCGUAGGCGGCCUUGUAAGUUGGGGGUGAAAGCCCGUGGCUCAACCACGGAAUUGCCUUCGAUACUGCUUGGCUUGAGUGUGGUAGAGGUUGGUGGAACUGCGAGUGUAGAGGUGAAAUUCGUAGAUAUUCGCAAGAACACCGGUGGCGAAGGCGGCCAACUGGACCAUCACUGACGCUGAGGCGCGAAAGCGUGGGGAGCAAACAG
RNAcentral lists this ribosomal RNA (251 nucleotides) under uncultured prokaryote. RNAcentral's name for it is "partial 16S ribosomal RNA". It matches the Rfam family "Bacterial small subunit ribosomal RNA", at positions 525 to 775 of the family's 1533-position model. The record is from RNAcentral.